ACUUGGAUAUCUGAAGUAAAAGUCAUUUUCUAUGUCACUUGUUGCAUUGCGUGUCUUCAUAAAUUCUGCCCAGUUAGGACCAGCUUCAUGGUUGUACCGUACAAAAACUCCAAAUAGAAUGAUCAUAGCAAUUUCCCAUAUGAAGCAAAUUAUGGGUAGUUUAAAUCGCAUUAAGGUAUUUUUCAUCAUCUUGGCUGCUUUCUACUAGCUCCUAAGACAAUGUAAACUGAGAUACAGGCUGCAUUCACCUGUAAGCCCUGCUCUAUUCUUACAGGUAAACGUGAUGAAAAUUCCAAAGCUUCACAGUGACAUUUGAAACAAAUUGCUCCAUUCUAUAUAGCGGAGUUCAGGAGGUGUGUCU
Pelobates cultripes (western spadefoot toad) is the source of this 361-nucleotide non-coding RNA. Lineage: Eukaryota; Metazoa; Chordata; Amphibia; Anura; Pelobatidae. The record is from the annotation of a GenBank genome assembly.